GACGAACGCUGGCGGCGUGCUUAACACAUGCGAGUCGAACGGAAAGGCCCUGCUUUUGUGGGGUGCUCGAGUGGCGAACGGGUGAGUAACACGUGAGUAACCUGCCCUUGACUUUGGGAUAACUUCAGGAAACUGGGGCUAAUACCGGAUAGGAGCUCCUGCUGCAUGGUGUGGGUUGGAAAGUUUCGGCGGUUGGGGAUGGACUCGCGGCUUAUCAGCUUGUUGGUGGGGUAGUGGCUUACCAAGGCUUUGACGGGUAGCCGGCCUGAGAGGGUGACCGGACACAUUGGGACUGAGAUACGGCCCAGACUCCUACGGGAGGCAGCAGUGGGGAAUAUUGCACAAUGGGCGGAAGCCUGAUGCAGCAACGCCGCGUGCGGGAUGACGGCCUUCGGGUUGUAAACCGCUUUCGCCUGUGACGAAGCGUGAGUGACGGUAAUGGGUAAAGAAGCACCGGCUAACUACGUG
Molecule: ribosomal RNA, 468 nt
Filed under: uncultured bacterium
Lineage: Bacteria
Description: partial 16S ribosomal RNA
Rfam family: Bacterial small subunit ribosomal RNA
Source: RNAcentral